GAGGUGGAUUCCGAAAAACCUUAUAGAGUAGGAG
Regulatory RNA element from Leadbetterella sp., 34 nucleotides. It matches the Rfam family "DUF805b RNA". Rfam says of the family: Bacteroidetes, Chlorobi (1 example), Proteobacteria. Lineage (Flavobacteria) NCBI's taxonomy places the organism in Bacteria, Pseudomonadati, Bacteroidota, Cytophagia, Cytophagales, Leadbetterellaceae. The record is from Rfam.